This 513-nucleotide ribosomal RNA is filed under the name uncultured bacterium. RNAcentral describes it as "partial 16S ribosomal RNA". It matches the Rfam family "Bacterial small subunit ribosomal RNA", at positions 30 to 523 of the family's 1533-position model. The record is from RNAcentral.
AUUGAACGCUGGCGGCAUGCCUAACACAUGCAAGUCGAACGGCAGCACAGUAAAGACUUCGGUCUUUAUGGGUGGCGAGUGGCGGACGGGUGAGUAACGCGUAGGAAUCUGUCCUGGAGAGUGGGAUAACCCGAGGAAACUCGGGCUAAUACCGCAUAAUAUCGAGAGAUCAAAGGCAGGGGACCCUUCGGGGCCUUGCGCUCUAGGUUGAGCCUACGUCGGAUUAGCUAGUGGGGGGGGUAAAGGCCUACCAAGGCGACGAUCCGUAGCUGGUCUGAGAGGAUGACCAGCCACACUGGGACUGAGACACGGCCCAGACUCCUACGGGAGGCAGCAGUGGGGAAUCUUGGACAAUGGGGGAAACCCUGAUCCAGCGAUGCCGCGUGUGUGAAGAAGGCCUUCGGGUUGUAAAGCACUUUAGGUGGGGAAGAAAGGUAAUGAGUGAAUAACUGAUUGCUUUGACGGUACCCGCAGAAUAAGCACCGGCUAACUCUGUGCCAGCAGCCGCGGUAA